UGGGGGAUAUUGCACAAUGGGCGAAAGCCUGAUGCAGCGACGCCGCGUGGGGGAUGAAGGCUUUCGGGUUGUAAACCUCUUUCGCUAUCGAACAAGGCCCGCUUAGGGUGGGAUGAGGGUAGGUGGAGAAGAAGCGCCGGCUAACUACGUGCCAGCAGCCGCGGUAAUACGUAGGGCGCGAGCGUUGUCCGGAAUUAUUGGGCGUAAAGGGCUUGUAGGCGGCUUGUUGCGCCUGCUGUGAAAACGCGGGGCUUAACUUCGCGCGUGAAGUGGGUAGGGGCAGGCUUGAGUGUGGUAGGGGUGACUGGAAUUCCAGGUGUAGCGGUGGAAUGCGCAGAUAUCUGGAGGAACACCGAUGGCGAAGGCAGGUCACUGGGCCAUUACUGACGCUGAGGAGCGAAAGCAUGGGUAGCGAACAGG
RNAcentral lists this ribosomal RNA (420 nucleotides) under bacterium. RNAcentral describes it as "partial 16S ribosomal RNA". It matches the Rfam family "Bacterial small subunit ribosomal RNA", at positions 355 to 776 of the family's 1533-position model. The record is from RNAcentral.